Molecule: small nuclear RNA, 163 nt
Organism: Nannospalax galili (Upper Galilee mountains blind mole rat)
Lineage: Eukaryota; Metazoa; Chordata; Mammalia; Rodentia; Spalacidae
Gene: U1
Rfam family: U1 spliceosomal RNA
About the family: U1 is a small nuclear RNA (snRNA) component of the spliceosome (involved in pre-mRNA splicing).
Source: Ensembl
GUACUUACCUGUCAGGGAGGAUACCAUGAUCAUGAAGGUGUUUUAUGCAGGGCAAGACUCAUCCAUUGCACUUAGGAUGGGCUGACCCCCACAGUUUUCUCAAAUGUGGGGAACUCAACUGACUGCAUAAUUCAUAGUGGGGUAGUAGGUUCAAGUUCUCCAC